This 403-nucleotide unclassified non-coding RNA is filed under the name soil metagenome. RNAcentral's name for it is "partial contains 5.8S ribosomal RNA, internal transcribed spacer 2, and large subunit ribosomal RNA". The stretch from base 1 to 120 matches the Rfam family "5.8S ribosomal RNA", at positions 35 to 154 of the family's 154-position model. The record is from RNAcentral.
GAUGAAGAACGCAGCGAAAUGCGAUAAGUAAUGUGAAUUGCAGAAUUCAGUGAAUCAUCGAAUCUUUGAACGCACCUUGCGCCCUUUGGACUUCUGAAGGGCAUGCCUGUUUGAGUAUCAUGAACACCUCAACUCCUUAUGGUCUUCCAUGAUGAGCUUGGACUUUGGGGGUUUUGCUGGCCUACAGUCAGCUCAUCUAAAAUAAAUCAGCUUACCGGUGUUUGGUGGGUAUCAUGGGUGUGAUAACUAUCUACGCUCGUGGUUUUCCACCAGGUAACCUUCAGCAGUGGAGGUUCACUGGAGCUCAUAGAUGUCUCUCCUCAGCGAGGACAGCCCUUUGAAUGUUUGAUCUCAAAUCAGGUAGGACUACCCGCUGAACUUAAGCAUAUCAAUAAGCGGAGGA